This 2624-nucleotide ribosomal RNA is filed under the name Acinetobacter baumannii 24860_9. Its description in RNAcentral is "bacterial LSU rRNA". It matches the Rfam family "Bacterial large subunit ribosomal RNA", at positions 311 to 2925 of the family's 2925-position model. The record is from RNAcentral. Lineage: Bacteria; Pseudomonadati; Pseudomonadota; Gammaproteobacteria; Moraxellales; Moraxellaceae.
CAUUAAGUUAUGUGUGUUUUAGUGGAACGCUCUGGGAAGUGCGAACGUAGAGGGUGAUAUUCCCGUACACGAAAGGGCACACAUAAUGAUGACGAGUAGGGCGAGGCACGUGAAACCUUGUCUGAAUAUGGGGGGACCAUCCUCCAAGGCUAAAUACUCCUGACUGACCGAUAGUGAACCAGUACCGUGAGGGAAAGGCGAAAAGAACCCCUGUGAGGGGAGUGAAAUAGAUCCUGAAACCGCAUGCAUACAAGCAGUGGGAGCACCUUCGUGGUGUGACUGCGUACCUUUUGUAUAAUGGGUCAGCGACUUAUAUUCAGUAGCGAGGUUAACCGUAUAGGGGAGCCGUAGAGAAAUCGAGUCUUAAUAGGGCGUUUAGUUGCUGGGUAUAGACCCGAAACCAGGCGAUCUAUCCAUGAGCAGGUUGAAGGUUGGGUAACACUAACUGGAGGACCGAACCCACUGUCGUUGAAAAGCCAGGGGAUGACUUGUGGAUAGGGGUGAAAGGCUAAUCAAGCCUGGUGAUAGCUGGUUCUCCCCGAAAGCUAUUUAGGUAGCGCCUCGGACGAAUACCAUAGGGGGUAGAGCACUGUUUCGGCUAGGGGGUCAUCCCGACUUACCAAACCGAUGCAAACUCCGAAUACCUAUGAGUACUAUCCGGGAGACAGACUGCGGGUGCUAACGUCCGUAGUCAAGAGGAAAACAAUCCAGACCGCCAGCUAAGGCCCCAAAAUCAUAGUUAAGUGGGAAACGAUGUGGGAAGGCAUAGACAGCUAGGAGGUUGGCUUAGAAGCAGCCACCCUUUAAAGAAAGCGUAAUAGCUCACUAGUCGAGUCGGCCUGCGCGGAAGAUGUAACGGGGCUAAAACUAUGUGCCGAAGCUGCGGAUGUAUACUUUGUAUACGUGGUAGGGGAGCGUUCUGUAAGCCGAUGAAGGUGUGUUGAGAAGCAUGCUGGAGGUAUCAGAAGUGCGAAUGCUGACGUGAGUAACGACAAAACGGGUGAAAAACCCGUUCGCCGAAAGACCAAGGGUUCCAGUCCAACGUUAAUCGGGGCUGGGUGAGUCGACCCCUAAGGCGAGGCCGAAAGGCGUAGUCGAUGGGAAAAUGGUUAAUAUUCCAUUACUUCUGUGUAAUGCGAUGAGAGGACGGAGAAGGCUAAAUCAGCCUGGCGUUGGUUGUCCAGGUGAAAGGAUGUAGGCAUGUAUCUUAGGCAAAUCCGGGGUACUCUAUGCUGAGAUCUGAUAGCAAGCUGUACUUGUACAGCGAAGUGGUUGAUGCCAUGCUUCCAGGAAAAGUCUCUAAGCUUCAGUUACACAGGAAUCGUACCCGAAACCGACACAGGUGGUCAGGUCGAGUAGACCAAGGCGCUUGAGAGAACUCUGCUGAAGGAACUAGGCAAAAUGGUACCGUAACUUCGGGAGAAGGUACGCUGUUGUUGGUGAUGGAACUCGCUUCCUGAGCUGACGACAGCCGCAGAAACCAGGCCGCUGCAACUGUUUAUUAAAAACAUAGCACUCUGCAAACACGAAAGUGGACGUAUAGGGUGUGAUGCCUGCCCGGUGCUGGAAGGUUAAUUGAUGGGGUUAGCGUAAGCGAAGCUCUUGAUCGAAGCCCCAGUAAACGGCGGCCGUAACUAUAACGGUCCUAAGGUAGCGAAAUUCCUUGUCGGGUAAGUUCCGACCUGCACGAAUGGCAUAAUGAUGGCGGCGCUGUCUCCAGCAGAGGCUCAGUGAAAUCGAAAUCGCUGUGAAGAUGCAGUGUACCCGCGGCUAGACGGAAAGACCCCGUGAACCUUUACUGCAGCUUGACACUGAACUUUGACCUUACUUGUGUAGGAUAGGUGGGAGGCUUUGAAGCUGGAACGCUAGUUCCAGUGGAGCCGUCCUUGAAAUACCACCCUGGUAAUGUUGAGGUUCUAACUCUGUCCCGUGAUCCGGGACGAGGACCGUGUCUGGUGGGUAGUUUGACUGGGGCGGUCUCCUCCUAAAGAGUAACGGAGGAGUACGAAGGUGCGCUCAGCGUGGUCGGAAAUCACGCGUAGAGUAUAAAGGCAAAAGCGCGCUUAACUGCGAGACCCACAAGUCGAGCAGGUACGAAAGUAGGUCUUAGUGAUCCGGUGGUUCUGUAUGGAAGGGCCAUCGCUCAACGGAUAAAAGGUACUCUGGGGAUAACAGGCUGAUACCGCCCAAGAGUUCAUAUCGACGGCGGUGUUUGGCACCUCGAUGUCGGCUCAUCUCAUCCUGGGGCUGAAGCAGGUCCCAAGGGUAUGGCUGUUCGCCAUUUAAAGAGGUACGCGAGCUGGGUUUAGAACGUCGUGAGACAGUUCGGUCCCUAUCUACCGUGGGCGCUGGAAAUUUGAGAGGAUCUGCUCCUAGUACGAGAGGACCAGAGUGGACGAACCUCUGGUGUACCGGUUGUGACGCCAGUCGCAUCGCCGGGUAGCUAUGUUCGGAAGGGAUAACCGCUGAAAGCAUCUAAGCGGGAAGCCUACCUCAAGAUAAGAUUUCCCUAGGACUUUAUGUCCUCUAAAGAGCCGUUCGAGACUAGGACGUUGAUAGGUUGGAUGUGGAAGCAUAGUGAUAUGUGAAGCUGACCAAUACUAAUUGCUCGUGAGGCUUGACUA